Ailuropoda melanoleuca (giant panda) is the source of this 567-nucleotide long non-coding RNA. RefSeq lists it as uncharacterized. Lineage: Eukaryota; Metazoa; Chordata; Mammalia; Carnivora; Ursidae. The transcript is spliced from 3 exons. The record is from RefSeq and is a predicted model, not a curated record.
GCUGUGGAUCAGGGCCGGGACGUUCGCAGGUUCGGGCCGGCUGCCUCACUUGGUGUGGCCCGUGCGGUGUUAAGUUCGGUUACGAGGUCAGCUCUCUUUGUCAGAGCAGGGAAGGAGCUGGAAAUCUCUCAUAGGAGGAACAAUGAAGAGAACUGGAAAUAUUUGAACUGGAGUAGGGACUGCGUGAAAAAGCAGGAACUGUGUUGCGUCUGGUGGAAAGGAGAGAUGGUAUCAUAAAACAAGGAAAUACCAAUAAUUUUGACAACUAAACUGAAAAGGAUCGAACAAGAAAAAAGAGAGAGAGAACACAAGCAGGGGGAACGGAAGGCAGAGGGAGAAGCAGGCUUCCCGCGGAGCAAGGAGCCCGAUGCGGGACUCGAUUCAGGGACCCAGGAUCACGACCUGAGCGAAAGGCAGACGCUCAACCGACUGAGCCACCCAGGCGUCCAGUGCCCCCACAUCUUGAUUAUUUCAUUGCACAUUGUUAUUCACUGUUCAAAAAGACUCUGUAGUAAGGAAAUUAGUAUUUAUAAAGUAUUUAAGCAUAUCUGAUUAAAGCAUAUUGUG